UCCUGAGGUAUGCCUGAUUUUAGAAGCUAAGCAAGUUUGGGGCUCGUUAGUUCUUGGAUAGGAGACCGCUUGUGAGUACUGGGUCCUGCAGGCU
Molecule: ribosomal RNA, 94 nt
Filed under: Castor canadensis (American beaver)
Lineage: Eukaryota; Metazoa; Chordata; Mammalia; Rodentia; Castoridae
Source: RNAcentral